Long non-coding RNA from Gasterosteus aculeatus aculeatus (three-spined stickleback), 278 nucleotides. RefSeq lists it as uncharacterized. The record is from RefSeq and is a predicted model, not a curated record. NCBI's taxonomy places the organism in Eukaryota, Metazoa, Chordata, Actinopteri, Perciformes, Gasterosteidae.
UCAAUGUCUGUGAUUGCUGGCUGGUCUAUUUAUGAAGGCUUGUUAACAAAUAUCCUACAAACACAGAAAAUGGAGAAAAAAAAGGAAUCGCAACCCGAACUGGACUGAGGAGCAAGGUUUGUUGCUGGCCCAGUUGGUGAACCAACAUAAAGGCGACGAUUGUGAGAAAAGGUGGUAUGUGCUGCAGUCCAAGGCAAAAGAUGAGAUUUCAGCACAGAAGCGGGAAUCCUCACUCACAGGUGGAUGGUGGUUCUAUCUCAUGGUGGUGGUCGUCCCUG